Molecule: small nucleolar RNA, 86 nt
Filed under: Bipolaris zeicola 26-R-13
Lineage: Eukaryota; Fungi; Ascomycota; Dothideomycetes; Pleosporales; Pleosporaceae
Description: A. fimigatus snoRNA Afu_298
Rfam family: A. fimigatus snoRNA Afu_298
Source: Rfam by way of RNAcentral
GCUAUGAUUAUUUUCUUUUUAACCCUGAGGUCCUACGGUGAGGAUUAAAAAUACAACAACAACAACACUCUAAUUUUUUAAUGAGC